AGGUCCGUUUCCUCUUCAGAGAUCGCCAACGGAGUGUAAUGCCAUUUAACCAAUCAGAGUUGAGCUUUGCCGUAUUCAAAUUCAUAUCUUCCGGUGAUGCGAAAACGUCAGACUACUGAGCUGUUUCUAACGUGUGUAGCAUAAGUGUAGUGUGCUAUAGUUGAGAGGAAGCUAAAAAAUAAUGGUAUUUCCCAAAUUCGGGCUGUUUUAUUUCCCCGAUACAAAGUUGGUGAGAGUACGAACAUAAUAAGAUGCGAACACAGGAGGGAAGAAUAUCGGAUAGCCUCUCGACAGCAACUUGAUAGUGAAGAUGGCUAUGUUGAAGUGUGUUUGCCUAGUCGCAGCAGACACGGAGAAGCUAAGACACUGGCGGCAAAAAUACUCUUUCUUGGAGAGAACUUUAAGGAAGUUGUAGAAAAAAAAACAGCUUUCCUCAGAAAUGAAGACAUCUGGCACAGCAGCAGCACCACAGCAGCUGUGAGGAGAGUCUGCAGAGUGUACAGUGACACAAGAUGAAGACAGACCGAAGAAAAAGAAAAAACAUGUGACAGGAUGUCACAUAAUUUCUUCAGACAAUGAUGAGACUGACAUAGAUUCAGCACAAGCCUUUGGAACGAAGAAACCAAAAAUGAUGAAGGCUGCAAACGAGAGGGUUCUUUCGCAGCUUAAGUCUUCUCUGCUGAAAAAAGGAAAAAAUUUUCCUCACAAAGUGAGGAAGAUGAUGUAGACAUAGACACCAAUAUAGACCUUUUUGAUUCACCCCAAGCUUCUAGAACAGCUGACCCCUGCUUUAGGCAACAGGAAAUGGAGUGUGGCCCGAUGAAUCAGGCACUGGAAAACAUAGACAGGCGCCAGGAAGUGAUAGAUGCAUUAAAAGAAAUACCCACCCUUAUCAAUUGUGUUAAGGAACUAACAACCACUAUGAAGCGUUUGCUACCUUCCUUCGACAGUGAUACAAGUUCAGGGUCCUCCAGUCCUGCUCCAGAAAUAGUAUGUUGGUUCCCUCUGUGCUUCCCUUUCUAAAAUAAUGACUUAUUUUUACUAUAGGCAGUAUCUUAUGCCAUAAAUGAGCCCAUGAUUUCCAAACAAGAUGAUACUCAAAUAUUCUUUCUUGGCAAAUUUCUGCUACCUGGGUGCAGUGAGGGAAGUGACAGAUGUUUCCAUGUGGCUUGUCAGGUGCUGUGUGAAGUCACAACACACAGAUAUUACUUCUUUACCAAGACUAUUUAGUUCUGAGCAUCAUCUGCUUUGAAAAUUGCUGUUUCGUUUCAUAUUGUUAUUUCUAUGUCUUCACAAUGUUAUUUUUAGCUUUUGGUUA
Long non-coding RNA from Brienomyrus brachyistius, 1318 nucleotides. RefSeq lists it as uncharacterized. The transcript has 6 exons. The record is from RefSeq and is a predicted model, not a curated record. NCBI's taxonomy places the organism in Eukaryota, Metazoa, Chordata, Actinopteri, Osteoglossiformes, Mormyridae.